CCUACGAGAGGCAGCAGUGGGGAAUAUUGCGCAAUGGGCGAAAGCCUGACGCAGCGACGCCGCGUGAGGGAUGAAGGUCUUCGGAUCGUAAACCUCUGUCAGCAGGGAAGAACGGUCACUGUGCUAAUCAGCAGUGAAUUGACGGUACCUGCAAAGGAAGAACCGGCUAACUCCGUGCCAGCAGCCGCGGUAAUACGGAGGGUGCGAGCGUUAAUCGGAAUUACUGGGCUUAAAGGGCUCGUAGGCGGUAUGUCAAGUCAAGGGUGAAAUCCCCGCGCUCAACGUGGGAACUGCCUUUGAAACUGUCAAACUGGAGUGUGUGAGAGGAUAGUGGAAUGCCAGGUGUAGGAGUGAAAUCCGUAGAUAUCUGGAGGAACAUCAGUGGCGAAGGCGACUAUCUGGCACAUAACUGACGCUGAGGAGCGAAAGCGUGGGGAGCAAACAGGAUUAGAUACCCUUGUAGUC
Molecule: ribosomal RNA, 465 nt
Filed under: uncultured bacterium
Lineage: Bacteria
Description: partial 16S ribosomal RNA
Rfam family: Bacterial small subunit ribosomal RNA
Source: RNAcentral